Long non-coding RNA from Gallus gallus (chicken), 2401 nucleotides. Lineage: Eukaryota; Metazoa; Chordata; Aves; Galliformes; Phasianidae. The record is from Ensembl.
UUACGGUUAAUUAGCAUGGGGGCUUAACGAGGCAUGGAAUGAGCACUUUGUGGGGGCGGUUCAUGAGGGGGAAGGUGGUUGGGGGUGGGACUCAUUUGCAUAUAUUAGCAUACGAGGGUGGGAUUGGGGUGUUAAUUAGUAUAUGCUAAUGAGGAUGGGAUCGGCCAUAGGGAAGAAGUCGUUAAUUAGCGGCCUUCACGAGCUGCGGAUCGUUACUAUUGAGGCUUCGUGUUGGUUGAAGGCUGGGCUCAUUUGCAUACAUUAGCAUAUGAGGAUCGAGAGUGCAUACGAGGAUCGAGAAUGCUCGCUAAUUAGCAUUGCUAAUGAGGACGGGAUCAGCACUAACGAAGACUUCGUUAAUUAGCGACCUUAACGAGUUGUCCAUUGUUACCAUUGAGGCUCUUCAGUGAUUGAAUGCUGGGCUCAUUUGCAUAAAUUAGCAUACGAGGAUCAAGAAGGGUCGCUAAUUAAGGCCACUAAUGAGGUUCGGAUUGACGAUGAUGGAGACUUCGUUAAUUAGCAGCCUUGUUAAUUAGCGGCCUUGACGAGCUGUGGAUUGCUAUCAUGGAGGCCUCGCAUUGGUUGAAAGCUGAGCUCAUUUGCAUGAAUUAGCAUACGGGGAUCAAGAAAGGAUGUUAAUUAGAGCUGCUAAUGAAGAUUGGAUCAGCGCUAACGAAGAGUUUGUUAAUUAGGAACCUUAAUGAGCAAUCCAUCGUUACCUUCGAGGCUUUUCAGUGGUUGAAAGCUGGGCUCAUUUGCAUAAAUUAGCAUACGAGGAUCAAGAAAGGACGUUAAUUGGCGCUGCUAAUGAGGAUCCAAUCAGCGCUAACGAAGACUUCGUUAAUUAGCGACCUUAAUGAGCUGUGGAUCGUUACCAUGGAGGUCUCGGAUUGGUUGAAAGCUGAGCUCAUUUGCAUAAAUUAGCAUACGAGGAUCAAGAAGGGGCAUUAAUUAAGGCUGCUAAUGAAGAUUGGAUCAGCGCUAACGAAGAGUUUGUUAAUUAGGAACCUUAAUGAGCAAUCCAUCGUUACCUUGGAGGCUUUUCAGUGGUUGAAAGCUGGGCUCAUUUGCAUAAAUUAGCAUACGAGGAUCAAGAAAGGACGUUAAUUGGCGCUGCUAAUGAGGAUCCAAUCAGUGCUAACGAAGACUUCGUUAAUUAGCGACCUUAACGAGCUGCGGAUCGUUACCAUGGAGGCCACGGAUUGGUUGAAAGCUGGGCUCAUUUGCAUAAAUUAGCAUACGAGGAUCAAGAAGCGUCGUUAAUUAGAGCUGCUAAUGAGGAUCCGAUCAGCGCUAAUGAAGAUCUUGUUAAUUAGCGGAUGAAGGCUUCGUUAAUGAGCGGCUUUGACGAGCUGCGGGUCGUUACCAUGGAGGCUUCUCAUUGGUCGAAAGCUGGGCUCAUUUGCAUACAUUUGCAUAGGAGGAUCACGAAAGCUCGUUCCUGAGCACUAAUUAACGGGGCUUAAUGAGGCUGCUUAAUGAGCUCGGCGCAGCGGUAACGAAGGCCGCCUUAAUUAGCGAGCGCGGCUCCCGGCGUCGGCUUCCCAUUGGUCGAGAGCCCCCCUCAUUAGCAUAUAUGAAUGGUUAAUGAGGGGGCGGUGUUGAAUGGGUUUCAAUGGGGGCCAAUGGGGUUUAAUGGGGGUUAAUGGGGUCUUAUAGGGUUUAAUGGGGUUUUAAUGGGGUUUAAUGGGGUCUUAUAGGGGUUUAAUGGGGGUUAAUGGGGUCUUAUAGGGUUUUAAUGGGGGUUAAUGGGGUUUUAAUGGGGUGUUAUGGGGUUUAAUGGGGGUUAAUGGGGUCUUAAAGGGUUUUAAUGGGGGUUAAUGGGGUUUUAAUGGGGUUUAAUGGGGUCUUAUAGGGUUUUAAUGGCGGUUAAUGGGGUUUUAUGGGGUUUUAAUGGGGGUUAAUGGGGUCUUACAGGGUUUUAAUGGGGGUUUAUGGGAUUUUAAUGGGGGUUAAAGGGGUUUAAUGGGGGUUAAUGGGGUCUUAUAGAGUUUAAUGGGGUUUUAUGGGGUCUUACAGGGUUUUAAUGGGGGUUAAUGGGGUUUUAAUGGGGUCUUAUGGGGUUUAAUGGGGGUUAAUGGGGUCUUAUAGGGUUUUAAUGGGGGUUAAUGGGGUUUUAAUGGGGUUUAAUGGGGUCUUAUAGGGUUUUAAUGGCGGUUAAUGGGGUUUUAAUGGGGUUUAAUGGUGUCCUAUAGGGUUUUAAUGGGGGUUAAUGGGGUCUUAUAGGGUUUUAAUUAGAUUUAUGGGGUUUUAAUGGGAGUUAAUAGGGGUUUAUGGGGUUUUAAUGGGGUUUUAAUGGGGGUUAAUGAUGUUUUAAUGGGGGUUUAUGGGGUUUUAUGGGGUUUUAUAUGGUUUAAUGGCAGUUUAUGGGGUUUUAUGGGGUUUAAGGGUUUUAAUAGGG